CAUAGCCUGUGGAAAUUUAUCACAGGUCAUUACUGCUCAAUGUUAAUUAUAAAUGGCCGUGGUAUAUAUGACCAUGCUAAGGUAGCAUAAUAAUUUGUUUAAUAAUUUUAGACUGGAAUGAAUGUAAUCACACGUAUCAAAUGUCUCCUGGACUCUGGCUUGAACUUCCACUAUAGGUGAAAAUGCCUAUACUUUACAAUGGGACGAGAAGACCCUUAGAAUUUACUUUAAAUUUCACUGGGGCGGUGGUAGCUUGCAUCAGCUAUAUUAAUACAAGCCGGGACUUAUCAAGCGUGAAAAAAUUACCUAAGGGAUAACAGCAUAAUUGAAUAAAUUAGAUUGUGACCUCGAUGUUGGACUAGGGAACCUUUGGGCCAGAAGCUCAUGGGGUGGGUUCUGUUCGAACUAAAAAUUCCUACGUGAU
Molecule: ribosomal RNA, 424 nt
Filed under: Pteraeolidia ianthina
Lineage: Eukaryota; Metazoa; Mollusca; Gastropoda; Nudibranchia; Facelinidae
Description: partial 16S ribosomal RNA
Rfam family: Bacterial large subunit ribosomal RNA
Source: RNAcentral